Molecule: long non-coding RNA, 2294 nt
Filed under: Heterocephalus glaber (naked mole-rat)
Lineage: Eukaryota; Metazoa; Chordata; Mammalia; Rodentia; Bathyergidae
Description: lncRNA (ENSHGLG00100047446.1)
Source: RNAcentral
ACUGAAACUACUAAAAUGUGAGCCAAAAUACACCUUUCCUCUUUUAAGUUGUGGGUGUCAGGUAUUAUAUCUCAGCGAUGAGGAGGCGACUAAGAUGUGGCCCAUCAUUAUCUAGGUUGAUCUGAGAACAAACCGCAGCACCUGAAAGCACAUGGCCAGCUGAUGGAUGUUUGGCUCUGAUGGGCCAUUUUACAAGAUGCCUUAGGAAGGCAGGGAGUUUCAUCGCGAGUCCUUCAAACUGGUGCUGAGCCACAAACCAGCCAAGAUUGUAGAAUGUGUCACAUUCAGAAAGCAUCAAGCCAAUGCCAGCCCAGGCUGUGCUUCCAGAUGAGCAAGGCCCUCCUUCUGGGUUUGGAUACUGACUGAAGUUUUGCUUUCACGGUGACUGACACCUUCAUAAGGAUUCUAUCAGAUAAAAUUCCAGGUUUUUAAUUGCCAAAAGCCCAAGACCUCAUCUCCUCACACCUUGGCCCCCGACAGAGAAAUCCAAAGCAGAAGCUCUUUUUUUUAGAAAAAAAUUGAACUGACACAUAACAAUUGCAGGCAUUUGUGGUGUGAAUCACAGUGUGAUCGUUCAAUACAUAUGUACAGUGUGUAAAGAUCAGACCAGGGAUCAAACUUGGGAACUUGCGCUUUCAAGGCAGGCAGCAGCACCACUCAGGUACCUGCUGCUCACCAAUCACCUUCACUUGAGCCAUCCCUGUUUCACUGCAGCAAUGGGAGACAGUUUCUUGGUAUAUUUUCUCAUCUGUGUGGACAGAGUGUAGGAUAUUCUGGGUCCCAACACCACCAGAGGCCCUGGCCCCAGCCAUAGUAGGCUGCAGAUGCAGGUAGGUUGUCUCUCAGAGGGACCCUCAACAAACAGGCAAUGUGAACUGGAAGAGAAAUUCUCGGGCCUGUGUAUUUCAGUUGGACAACUCUAGGGCUCCAUAUGUUGUUCACCACUGUAUUGGAAGAGAACUCCAGUGACCCAGUGCCUAGUAGGCAGAAAACGGCCCCCCAAAGAUGCCCAUGUCCUAACCCCAGAACCUGUGAAUAUGUUCUUUCCUGGCAAAGGAAAUCUUUCAAAUGUGAUUGAAUUCCAAACCUUGACUUGGGGAGCUUAUUCGGGGUUAUCAAUGUGGGCCCAGUCUACUCACAUGGGUCCUUCAAAACAGAGACUUUCUCUCAGAUGUGGACAGAAAGACCCAUGAUAACAGAAAAAGGGUCUGAUGGAUGUAAUAUUGUUGGCUUUGAAGAUGGAAGAAGGGACACAAGCCAAGGAAUGCAAGUAUCUUCUAGAAACUGGGAAAGAGAAAGAAAGGAUCCUUUCCCCUUUAGGAUCUUGAUUUCGGCUCAGUGAGACCUACCUUGGACUUCUGACCUACAGAACUGAAAGGUGCUAAUUUUGUCAAUGUUGUGUUAAGUUGCUACAUUUAUUUUCAUUUGUUACAGCAGCAAAUGAUUAAUUAAUAUGCUCAAGGGUACUGGUACUAAAUAUGCACUUACAUUGGCUUUUUCCCCUUCCCUAUCUCUCUCCACUCUCUAACUCCUACUUUCCAGUAUUACAUUUGCCUACACCCAAGUCCUAUCCUCAGGUGCUGUUUAAAAGAGUACCCAAGCUCAAAUCAUGGAUAGGCUUUCUACUGACCUUUGAGGGUCUCUGGUUUUCCCACCCCCAUACUUCACCUUCAAUGAUCCUGGAAUUCAUUCAGGGAGCCACAAAGAUCCUUAAAACUCCAAGCUUCUAGGCAAAUUUACAAGUUAGUUUAAAAACCUAUACCUUUUUCAAGUGAAUAAUUAAUGUUAUAUUUGGAUUCCAGUCAUUUAAAAACUGUGAUCAUUUUACAUGACAUAUUUUAUUGAUUUAUUAUUAUUUCUCAAUAAACAUUGUCACCGUGAUGUGUAUGUUUUGGAAGGAACUCGAAGCCUGAAGAAACAUUAUUUCCAACUACAAUAUUUUAACUGAGCUCACCUCUUUUGAAAUUGCCUGAUGAUAAAACUGAUACUGUUAAGAAAUAUUAGUCAUCCCUGGCAUUAGGGAGAACAUUAUCCUCAGAAGUAUUCAGCACCGGGAUCUUCAUGAGUCCAACAAAGGGCAUGUCUAUGACAACUGUUUGAUUAUUUACCUUCCUCCCAUCUUCAAAUUUCAGCCCACAUGCAGGAGUUAGGUAGUGAGUCACAAGGCAGCAUGGAUUCUGAGAUGUGGCAGCUGAUCUGGUGGCAGACACCAUGCAAGAGUCUUAUACUACCUAACAGGCUCCGGUCCCCUCCAAGCUUCUUUGUGACACAGUUUUUCAAUACUACUAUUGCCC